Molecule: long non-coding RNA, 252 nt
Organism: Mauremys reevesii (Reeves's turtle)
Lineage: Eukaryota; Metazoa; Chordata; Testudines; Geoemydidae
Exons: 3
Source: RefSeq, a predicted model, not a curated record
CUCCAGCUCAUCCCAUCCUCUCAUGGGAGAGGGAAGAGAAAUGGCUGCAGAGGAGCCUGUUCAGGGGCCGGUGACCUUCGAGGAUGUUGCUGUGUAUUUCACCAGGAACGAGUGGGCUCUGCUGGACCCUACUCAGCGAGCCCUCUAUAGAGACGUCAUGCAGAAGAACUAUGAGAAUGUGACCUCGCUGGGGUUUCCUGUUACCCAGCCUGAUGUGAUCUCCCAGCUGGAACAGGGGGAAGAGCCAUGGGU